Molecule: transfer RNA, 72 nt
Filed under: Camelus bactrianus (Bactrian camel)
Lineage: Eukaryota; Metazoa; Chordata; Mammalia; Artiodactyla; Camelidae
Also listed under: 2 other names
Rfam family: tRNA
About the family: Transfer RNA (tRNA) molecules are approximately 80 nucleotides in length.
Source: Rfam by way of RNAcentral
GAAGGUAUAGCUCAGUGGUAGAGUGUGUGCUUAGCAUGCAUGAGGUCCUGGGUUCAAUCCCCAGUACCUCCA